GCUGCUGGCAGCUCCGGCUACUGGCCCGGCGCUCUGGCGUGGCUCGGGCUCCAGAGGACAGGACUGAGCGACUGGCCGGCGGAGCCCUGGGCGGGCCGCAGAGGCAGGGCCCGGGAUGGCACUCUCAGUGACAGGGCUCAUAGUCUUCUCCCUCCUGCAAGCCGUCCUCUCUUUGAACCCCGAGGACCCCAACGUGUGCAGCCACUGGGAGAGCUAUGCCGUGACUGUCCAAGAAUCAUACGCACACCCCUUCGACCAGAUCUACUACACACGAUGCACAGACAUCCUCAACUGGUUCAAGUGCACCAGGCACCGGAUCAGCUAUAAGACAGCAUAUCGGCGUGGCCUCCGGACCAUGUACCGGCGGAGGUCCCAGUGCUGCCCUGGUUACUACGAGAACGGAGACUUCUGCAUACCCCUGUGUACGGAGGAGUGUGUGCAUGGCCGCUGCGUCUCCCCGGACACCUGCCACUGCGAGCCCGGCUGGGGAGGGCCCGACUGCUCCAGUGGCUGCGACAGUGACCACUGGGGACCCCAUUGCAGCAACCGGUGCCAGUGCCAGAACGGUGCCCUGUGCAACCCCAUCACCGGCGCCUGCGUGUGUGCUGCUGGCUUCCGAGGCUGGCGCUGCGAAGAGCUCUGUGCUCCCGGCACCCACGGCAAGGGCUGCCAGCUACCGUGCCAGUGCCACCACGGUGCCAGCUGCGACCCCCGCACUGGCGAGUGCCUCUGUGCACCCGGCUACACCGGUGUCUACUGCGAGGAGCUGUGCCCGCCUGGGAGCCAUGGGGCUCACUGUGAGCUGCGCUGUCCCUGCCAGAACGGGGGCACCUGUCACCACAUCACUGGCGAGUGUGCCUGCCCCCCAGGCUGGACGGGAGCAGUGUGUGCCCAGCCCUGCCCACCAGGGACAUUUGGUCAGAACUGCAGCCAGGACUGUCCUUGCCACCACGGAGGGCAGUGUGACCACGUGACUGGGCAGUGUCAUUGCACAGCAGGAUACAUGGGGGACAGGUGCCAAGAGGAAUGCCCCUUCGGGACCUUCGGCUUCCAGUGCUCUCAGCGCUGUGACUGCCACAAUGGGGGCCAGUGUUCGCCCACCACCGGUGCCUGCCAGUGUGAGCCUGGCUACCAAGGCCCUCGCUGCCAGGAGCGGCUGUGCCCCGAGGGCCUGCACGGCCCGGGCUGCUCCUUGCCCUGCCCCUGCGACGCCGACAACACCAUCAGCUGCCACCCGGUAACCGGAGCUUGCACCUGCCAGCCGGGCUGGUCUGGCCACCAUUGCAACGAGUCCUGCCCUGCCGGCUACUAUGGCGAUGGCUGCCAGAUGCCUUGCACCUGCCAGAACGGCGCCGACUGCCACAGUGUCACUGGAAGCUGCACUUGUGCCCCAGGCUUCAUGGGGGAGGUCUGUGCAGUUCCCUGUGCAGCGGGGACCUACGGCCCCAACUGUUCAUCCGUCUGUAGCUGUAACAACGGCGGUACCUGCUCCCCAGUGGAUGGCUCCUGCACCUGCAAGGAAGGGUGGCAGGGUCUCGACUGCACCCUGCCAUGUCCCAGUGGGACGUGGGGCCUCAACUGCAAUGCCAGCUGCACCUGUGCCAAUGGGGCAGCCUGCAGCCCCGCGGACGGCUCCUGCUCCUGCACCCCCGGCUGGCUGGGAGACACCUGCGAGCUGCCCUGCCCGGAUGGCACGUUUGGGCCGAACUGCAGCGAGCGCUGUGACUGCAGCCAUGCCGACGGCUGCCACCCCGUCACAGGCCACUGCUGCUGCCUAGCCGGGUGGACAGGUGUCCGCUGUGACAGCACGUGUCCACCGGGUCGCUGGGGCCCCAACUGCUCAGUCUCCUGCAACUGUGAGAAUGGUGGCUCCUGCUCCCCGGAGGAUGGGAGCUGCGAGUGUGCCCCUGGCUUCCGAGGACCCUUAUGCCAGAGAAUCUGCCCCCCGGGGUUCUACGGCCACGGCUGCGCCCAGCCGUGCCCCCUCUGCGUGCACAGCAGCGGGCCCUGCCACCACGUCAGCGGCACCUGUGAGUGCCUCCCCGGCUUCUCUGGAGCUCUCUGCAACCAAGUGUGUGCUGGAGGGCACUUUGGGCAGGACUGUGCCCAGCUCUGUUCCUGUGCCAACAAUGGGACCUGCAGCCCCAUCGAUGGCUCCUGCCAGUGCUUCCCUGGAUGGAUUGGCAAGGACUGCUCACAGGCUUGCCCACCUGGGUUCUGGGGCCCUGCCUGCUUCCACACAUGCAGCUGCCACAACGGGGCGCGCUGCAGUGCCGAGGACGGGGCCUGCCACUGCACCCCUGGCUGGACUGGACUCUUCUGCACGCAGCGCUGCCCAGCAGCAUUUUAUGGGAAGGACUGCGGGCGUGUGUGCCAGUGUCAGAACGGAGCCAGCUGUGACCACAUCAGCGGCAAGUGCACCUGCCGCACAGGCUUCACCGGGCAACACUGCGAGCAGAGAUGCGCCCCGGGAACCUUUGGCUACGGGUGUCAGCAGCUAUGUGAGUGCAUGAACAAUGCCACCUGUGACCACGUCACUGGCACUUGUUACUGCAGCUCUGGAUUCAAAGGAAUCAGGUGUGACCAAGCUGCCCUCAUGAUGGAGGAGCUGAAUCCUUACACCAAGAUCAGCCCGGCACUGGGUGCGGAGCGGCACUCGGUGGGCGCCGUCACAGGCAUCAUCCUCCUGCUGUUCCUCCUCGUGGUGCUGCUGGGCCUGUUCGCCUGGCGCCGGCGCCGGCAGAAAGAGAAAGGCCGAGACCUGGCUCCCCGAGUCUCCUACACGCCGGCCAUGAGGAUGACCAGCACUGACUACUCCCUCUCAGAUUUGUCUCAAAGUAGCAGCUAUGCCCAGUGCUUUUCCAAUUCCAGCUACCACGCACUGGCGUGCGGGGGGCCUGCCACCAGCCAGGCCAGCACUCUGGACAGGAACAGCCCCACCAAGGAGCUUGUGGAAUGGAUAGACGUCAAAACACAUACAUUAUGGACAAAGGCUUCAAAGAUUACAUGAAAGAGUCUGUGUGCAGUUCUAGCACUUGUUCCUUGAAUAGCAGUGAAAACCCUUACGCCACAAUUAAGGACCCACCCGUCCUCACCUGCAAGCUUCCAGAAAACAGCUAUGUAGAAAUGAAGUCGCCUGUGCACAGGGGGUCUCCGUACACAGAUGUGCCAUCCUUGUCGACAUCUAAUAAAAAUAUAUAUGAAGUUGGUAAACUGGGGCUCAGAUGAGUCAAAAUGGAGCCAACUCCCAAGCCCUAAAGAGGACCUUCUCACAAGAAUUAAAGACGAAAGGGCAAAGUGAGAACACUGAUGGCCAUCCCUAUACCACUGUAUUCUCUGACAACAAUUCAGCUAGUAAAAAUACUUCCAAAAGGUAUACAAAAAAAGAACUACAUGACUGCAAAGCUGGAGUAACUGCUACAGGAAGUGUGGGAGUUCUGAAACCCUUGAUACAAAUUGGAAGUCUGCCAUGGAACCCAUUAGUUUGGGAAAUAACCAGCAAAAGGGAGAAAAAUGAUGAGUAAACGCCCCCCUCCCCACCUGACUCAAGGCUUAAGCAAAUGUUGUUAGGGGAAAAUAUCUAAUACUUAACAUGAAUGCUGCAUGUGUGCAUGGGAGCAAGUGAUCAGCAAUAGCAAAUUUACUUUCCAAAAAUGCCUUAUUAAAUAUAAAUACUAGAAAAGUACUUUGUAGACCGAAGUAAAUAUUUCUCACAUAUAUGUAGAAAGAAGUAUAGAUAAGAGACUUACCUCAGUAUUUCAAGGCAGCAAGUACUCAAUUAUCUUCGUGAAGCAAGGACUGAGAAUCAUGGUGAAGUCAGAUCAGCAAGGAGAAACGCCAUCUCAAUCGCAGGUUUUAUCUUCUUCCCUCCCCCUGCAUGUAAGUAACUGCUGCCUGGCACGCUGCAAACAAGCACCAUCACCCACCCAAGUUUCAAGUUUCACCUCUCUUUUGCCAACUAUCUUCUGCGCAAAUUUCAGCAAGAGGUGGCAUGGUGGAAUUGCUAAAGCACUGGGUCAAGAGAUUUGAAUGUUACUUGCCCUCUUGGGGCUCUUUUUACACCUGUAUGUUAAAAAAAUGGAGUAGCAAAGAGGGGGGUAAGGGAACCCUAAAACCCUUCAGCUCUAGCAUUCUCAUUUUUAAAGAAAUGUACUGGAAAUUAAAUCAGGCAAUACAGGAACAGGGAAAGACAGAGGGUGUGAUUAAUCGAUGGUGACAACUGUUGUCUUCACAUUAUCUAAGAGUUACUAGUAAAAGACAUUUCAAUCUUACAGAGCAACCAUUAGGAACUUCUGUCUAGCACUGCCGCAAAUAAGUUCAUGGUCGGCCUAAAUGCACUGUGCAUUGUAUUGACAGCUUGGAAAGAUCUGUUCAGUUAGUUUACAGAAACUAAGUUUUCACUCAAAGUGAUCUGCAUAUAAUUCAAAUGAAUGAAGAAAAUACAAUUAUUGUGUAAUAGCAUAAGUGAGACUAUGAAAUGGCAAUACUUUUUUAAACAACCCAGAUUUAUAUUUGUUCACUGUGCA
Phyllostomus hastatus (greater spear-nosed bat) is the source of this 4526-nucleotide RNA transcript. It is a transcript of the gene named multiple EGF like domains 11, with no coding region annotated. The transcript is spliced from 24 exons. The record is from RefSeq and is a predicted model, not a curated record. NCBI's taxonomy places the organism in Eukaryota, Metazoa, Chordata, Mammalia, Chiroptera, Phyllostomidae.